Molecule: ribosomal RNA, 169 nt
Filed under: Clostridioides difficile
Lineage: Bacteria; Bacillati; Bacillota; Clostridia; Peptostreptococcales; Peptostreptococcaceae
Description: partial 23S ribosomal RNA
Rfam family: Bacterial large subunit ribosomal RNA
Source: RNAcentral
UGGUCAAGUUAUUAAGGGUGCAGGGCGGAUGCCUUGGCACUAGGAGCCGAUGAAGGACGUGAUAAGCUGCGAUAAGCUUCGGGGAGUUGCACGUAAACUUUGAUCCGAAGAUUUCCGAAUGAGGAAACUCACUUAGAGUAAUGUCUAAGUAUCAUUAAGUGAAUACAUA